Molecule: long non-coding RNA, 6625 nt
Organism: Diceros bicornis minor
Lineage: Eukaryota; Metazoa; Chordata; Mammalia; Perissodactyla; Rhinocerotidae
Exons: 4
Source: RefSeq, a predicted model, not a curated record
ACAGUAAGGCUAAUAUUUGGUCUUCAGAGUUACCUAUGACCUUGAGCUUCUUUAUAUUAAUGUGCUGGGAAGAGGCUGAGAAAAUUCCCAUCAUGCACAGCUGUACCUGGAUGGACUAACACAAGAAACUACAGUAACUAUACAGUUAUAAUUUUUAUUAAAGAAAUCAGAAGUAUAUAUAUUCAAUUCUUCAGAAGCAUUUUGUUUCUGAUUUCCAAGUCUGACUGCAAUUACAAGUUAAUAAAAACAUGUUUUAAUAUGCUGGCUGAAAAUUGAUACUAUUUCCAAUCUGUGCCAUGAAACAAAUAAUAUGUGGGGAGAAAUUGAGCUCUCUCAUUUUAGAAAUGGAAAAUAGAUUUUUAAAAGUUCAGAUCAUUACCAAGGGUAAUGUUUUUAUAAUAAGUUUAACACUGACUUGCUCACUGCAAAACUUUGUCAGGGAGAAUUGUUAUUUGUGAAACAAAAUAAAGAUGUGAUGUAUUCUAAGAACUGUCUAUUUUAAAAGCCGUUGUGUGUGUAGGUCCCGCAGUCUGCUCCUGCCGGGGACCAGAGCGAAGCCUGCAGGACUGCUGGCACACCAGCCUAGGGGCUUGUUUUGGAGAGGAUGGAAGGACAGGGGUCAGUCCGGCUGGGGAAGCUGCUUACCCUCCCAGGAGGCCGACGUCACUGGAAUGCCGUGGCUAGCGGAGGACGUGUGCUCUGUCCCUGAUUCCAGGCAGGCGCUGAGACAUCAAAGCAGCUGAGUGGCAGCUCUGACAUUCAGACAGAUACAUUCCGAAAGGCUUCUGUUGUUUGCUCUCUGUGAUCAAGAGAAUGAAGACGAAAGCUGCCAAUUACGAAUUAAGCGCUGACUCCUUUACCUGUACCUGUUGCCCCUGAGAAGAUGUGUUGAUGAGCCACUUUGGACCUGGUCCCAGGGUGAGCUGGCUUGGGACGGGAGAUGGAUGACCUGUGCCCAUGUGAAUGAAUCCGGGCCACAAGGCAUCGCCUGGAGAGUGCCUCCUCUGACCACUCCCUGGGGUUUGAGGUGCUCACAGCUGGUUUGUUUAGUGAACUAUUGAGGUGACGGCUCUAGCCUUAGGGUCAGACUGCCCUCUUGCUAUGGUUCCUCCCUUGGGGUAAGCACAGCUCCGUGACUUGGCCUGCCGGGCCCUCCAUGCCUCAGCCCUGCCUCCUCCGCAGCCUCUUUGCUCUUCCCUAGUGCUCCAGGCUCCAGCUGGAGCCUCUCAGCCUCUUGAUGGCCCUGGCUGCCCCCUGCUGCUGAGCAUCCACAUGGGCCCCUCCCUCUGAGGACAGCACUCUUCCAGCCCAGCUGUGUCUGGUCACAAUUGCAUCUCCUUCAGAGCACCCUCCCUCACCCCCAGACUGGGCACAGCCAGAUUACAGGCCCCCCACGACUACUGCAUUUACUGCACAUUUCUCUGAGGUGUGCUCCAUUUUCCACGUCCAAGAGGGCUGGCUGUCUUGUUCUCCAACGUAUUCCAAGAGUGUGGAGGGUGUUGGGAGCAGAGGAAAUGCUCAGUAAAUAUGUGCUGAAUGAAUGGAUGAAUGAACUGGUUUAGUAAACUUACACCACUGAGCCUCAAUAAUGCCUGACUCACAUGGUUAAAUGAGGUAACGUAAGGCAAUGAAUCUUAGCAUUUUUGGAUCACUGACCCCUUUGGAAAAUCUAAUAAAUGUCGUGGACUCCCUCCUCAGAAAAAUGCACAAAUGCAGAGUAGCAAUUAUGCAUGCUCCUUGGAAGUUAUCUGACUAUCCUCUUACAGUCUCUGCAUAGAUUUUACUCUUUCCCUGUGCUGUUCCAGACUUUUUCUGUGUAUCCUUUUAAGAUAAUGGUAGCAGAUAGACAGAAAGCCUUGCUGUCUCAUUGGCUUAUCACAAUCCACAUUUAUUUCCGCCUCAUAGAGUGGCAUACAGUGGCAGAGCAGGCUUGGGGCAGCCUACUCCAUGUAGUCAUUCAGGGACCCAUUGUCAAAAUGUGGCUUCCAAAGUCAACUGGGUGUUGACAUCAGCUGGCCACAGGGAGACAGAGGAGGAGGAUGGAGAGCUGUUUGUGGCCAUGCUGGAAGUGGCUCACAUCAUGAAGGCUGGGUACUGUUACUGGUUUGGUGUUCUCAGGUCUUUAACUGCUGUAAAUGGAGUCUCAGACAUAGGACUUUUUUCCCACAAAAUUUCAUGGUGUUCAUUUUGACAAGAGAUUUUCACAUAUUGAGGUAUAUGGGGUAACUAUUUGGGUUCAAAACCAAUUUGGCUUGAACUGAAAAGCCUGACUUAUGGCCUAUCAAACAUACAUUGUACAUCUGCUUAACCAUUAAAGACUGUGCUCUCUUGAGGCUGGCCCCGUGGCUUAGUGGUUAAGUGCUCGCGCUCCGCUACUGACGGCCCGGUUCAGAUCCCGGGCGUGCACCGACGCACUGCUUCUCUGGCCAUGCUGAGGCCGUGUCCCACAUACAGCAACUAGAAGGAUGUGCAACUAUGACAUACAACUAUCUACUGGGGCUUUUGGAGGGGGGGGAAAGACUGUGCUCUCUUAAGAUAAGAAUGCAUACUUCCCCUUCUACACCCUGUUGGUAAUGCCCUAUAGGCAAAGCCCAGAUUAGUCCCUUUCCUGACAUCAUGGUCACAUUGACCUGCUAAUUUGCAAUUGAAUACCUCUUUGAAACUUUGAUAAAAAGGUAUCCUGGGUGUGUUUAAUGUAUGUUCUUUGUUCUAAAAAGAUAUAAGACUGUACUGAAAACCAUGCUUCUCCGGAAUGCUUUCUAAGGCCUUCCCAGUUUAUAACCCUCACUCUGGCUCAAGUAACCUCACCUAUUUCUCUUAUCUAUAGAAUGGUCAUUGGUUAUUUUGUGAUGACAUUUCUUGGCAUAGUCGUGGCAGGAUUUCAGAGAAACCCACUGGAGACCACCUGGAAUCCACACUGAACCAGCAUUCAGGCCCAUUGAGCCCCCCGGUGCACUGCAUUCUUCAGGUGGCCCUGGCUCAAGAAAUUGCCACAGAAGAAGAGAAACAGACAUGGCCGUCAAAGGGGGGAAUUUUGGACACCUCUCACAGGUGUGGUUUGGGCCCAAUAAGAAACCCAUAGUACCUACUGGAGCACAAUUGCCACUGCUCCAGGAUAUAUACCAAUUAACCCAUUGGGCACCUGAAAAGGUAAUUUUAUGGGGAAAGCAAUACUUUUGAAAACUUUCUCCCACAGCGGCCCAUACAGCCUAUACUCAUUGUGUUAUAUGCCCAAAAUAUAAUCUAUGGAAACUAUUUUAUGAAUCACAAGGCCACUUUCCCCUUCCUAAGGUACCCUUUGAGGUUUGGCAAUUGGACUUUGUCCAAAUGCCACAAUCUUAGGGAUAUAAAUAUAUCUUAUAAUGAUCUAUGUGUUCUUACAUUGGGUUGAGGCCUUUCCUUGCAGAAGAGCGAUGGCUUUAGACAAAUUAUUAUUGGAGAGAAUAAUUCUUGUUUGUGGAAUUCCUACCGAGUUACAUAGUGACUGGGGAACUCAUUUCACUGGACAAAUAAUUAAAUCUAUUCGUAAUAUUUGGCCAAUAAUGCAGAAUUUCCACUGUGCUUACCAUCCCCAAUCCUCAGGAUUGUUGGAAAGAACUAAAUGGCACCGUCAAAACUCAAUUGGCAAAGCUUUCAGAAGCACUUAAUCUCUCAUGGCCAGAAGCUCUUCCACUAGUGCUCCUCAAUCUUAGAUCUACGCCCUUUGGUAAACAUCAGCUGUCCCCUUUCAAGAUAAUAACUGGACUUAGACGAAGAAAUGUAUGAACCAAUUUUGCUUAAAGGAAAUAUCUUAAUUAUUGUCAAGGUCUCAUUGAGACACUUAAAAAAAAGAAAAAAUGAUGAGAGGUUGGUAGCCUAUUAUUUUCACAGAGAGCUCCCAGACCUUAAGGAUCAUGGACUAUAACCUGGAGAAUUUGUUAUCAGAAGAAGCAUCAAGUAAAAGACUCUUUGCAGCCCCAUUGGAAAGGAGCAUACCAGGUACUAUUAACCAAUUCACGUGCUACAGAAUCAAAAGAUACAGACUCAUGGAUUCACAUUUCUCAUUUUAAAAGAGGUUUCUCACCUGAGUGGGUUUCAGUUCCUAUUUCUGAUAUCUGACUUCAACUGACCAAUGAAAAUCUCUCCAAACCAGGAUGAGAAGAAGACAGCAUCCGUUGUAGACAGCUGUCCCAAGACUCCAGACCAGGCCCAGGCCUGUAUUCCCAACCUUAAAUCUCCUCAUUUAAACCUUUGUGAUGCUUAAACUGUAUACCUAUUUUAUAAUUGUUCCAUUUAAGUUUUUCAGAAUACUAUCAUACUUAAAGAAAGUGAUUGAUUUGGAACAGCCUGGUCGAAGGCCAGGUGUUUAUUGGGUGGCUCCUCUUGGAACUCAAUGGUUACAUGUAACAAAUCUCUGGCCUUGGCUACUGCCUGGAUAGCUAAAACACUGCACCCUGAGCUUCCCUUGGAUGCAGGAAAGGAUUCACUGAGCUAACGUGUUGCCAACCUCUCUCUUUAAGGCCAGAUGGGCUCAUUCAGUGUUCCACUGGUAAGACCACUGAGCAGCUAGCUAUAUGUGUUCCUUCUUUGGGGCUAGAAGAUGUCAUAUCACAUACAGAAGCCCUUAAAAGUUGUCAAGCAGGAAUAGCCUUUUUAAAUACUAAGAUGUCUUUAAUGAGGAAGGCUGUCCUUCAAAAUAGAAUGGACUUAGAUAUUCUUACAGCAUCCCAGGGUGGUACAUAUAUAUCAUUGAAACUGAAUGCUGUAUUUUUAUACCUGAUGAGUCUUCCAGUGCAUCAUCUCUGAAUGCCUUGAACGGUCCUAUACCUGGUCUUGAUUUGUUUAGUUGGCUCCCUUCUGGUAUUGGCUUCCAUUGGCGACCCAAUUGUAAUUCCUAUUUCUAUUACUCCUUGGAAUUCUUUUUUUUUUUUUAAUUUUUUGUUUAUUGCAGUAACAUUGGUUUAUAACAUUGUAAAAAUUUCAGGUGUACAUCAUUGUACUUCUAUUUCUGCAUAGAUUACAUCAUGUUCUGGAAUUCUUGUAUUAGUCAUAAUAUUCAAACUAAUUACUGAUUGCUCAGUGACCUUAGACGGUUGACCAAUCUUAACAACCCUGGACGAAUCUCCUUUUCUUAUUAAGGCUAUGCCUAAGACUUCAUUUUUAAGCUAAUCAUUUCAAGUAUUGUAUUACCUGUUGUAUAAUUGUCAUAAACAAUGUAACUAUAGGAGGUCAUGUAAAAGCACAUGUGCAAUAAUCUAAAAAUAAUUAACACAUUAAAUAACCUAUGAAACACUUCCCCUGUUAAUAUAUACCUCUAUGCUUGUCCACUGUAUCUGACUAUUUCCCCCCAAAUUGGAUAACUGGGCAAAUCAAUGAAAUAAAAUCCUAGGACUGAGGGACAUGGGGGACCCAGGGCAGGCAGUAACCACCCUGGCACCGAGGGACAAUAUUUUUUUUUUAUCAGCAAUGCUUUCUAUUCAAAGAUUAUUGAUCAAAAGGGGAAAAUGACAGCAAAUUCUCACAUAUUAAGGUAUAUGGGGUAAUUUUUGGAGUUCAAAACUGAUUCGGCUUGAACUAAAAAGCCUGACUUAUGGCCUAUCAAACAUACAUUGUACAUCUGCUUAACCAUUAAAGAAUAUACUCUCUUAAGAUAAGAAUGCACACUUCCCCUCCUAUGCACUAUUGACAACACCCUAUUGGUAAUGCCCAGAUUAGUCCCUUUCCUGACAUCAUGGUCACAUUGACCUGCUAAUUUCCAAUUGAAUAUCCUUUGAAAUUUUGAUGAAAAUGUAUCCUGGGUGUGUUUAAUGCAUGUUCUUUGUUCUAAUGAGAUAUAAGACUACUUGAAACCAUGCUUCUAAGGCCUUCCCAGGUUAUAGUCCUCACUCUGGCUCAAGUAAACUCACCUUAUUUCUCUUAUCUAUAGAAUGGUUAUUGGCUAUUUUGCAUCAACAUGAAUAAUGCUGCUAUGACCAUUUAUGUACAAGUUUUUGUGUGGACAUAUUUUCAUUUCUCUUGAAUAUAUGCCUAGGAGUAGAAUUGCUGGGUCAUAUGUUUCUUGCUGCUCUAUGUUUAAUUGUUUGAGGAAUUUGCACAGUUUUCCAAGGCAGCUGUAUCAUUUUACAUUCCCACCACCAAGGUAUGUGGGUUCAAAUUUCUUCACAUCUUUAUCAACACUUGUUAUAAUCUGAUUGUUUUAUUCUAGCCACCCUAGUGGGUGUGAAGUGGUAUCUUAUCAUGGUCUUGAUUUGCAUUUACUUGAUGACUAAUGAUGUCAAGCAUCUUUUCAUGUGCUUAUUGGCCAUUUGUAUAUCUUCCUUUCAAUAAUGCCCUGGGGCAUAAAUUACUCUUCAAACGAAUCCAAUCAAAUUGUGGCUCCUUUUAAGGAGUAGUCUCUGAGAUCUGUGUUUGAUAUCUAUUCUGUCCCAGAAGGGCUCCUCUUAGCUGACUUAUUCCCUAGUUCUCUCCUGCAAACUAGCCAGCCUACAGUCUGGGCUGUAUCUGUAUUAAAUUCAUGAAUCUCUUCCCAAUUUCCCUUCACCACAACAUCCACCAUUCUUGAGAGCACCUUUAAGCUUGAACUUCUCCAGCUCUGUUGCAAAUGAGGUCAGUUCCUUCAGGAACAAAUGAAGAGUUAUAUGUUUAA